Molecule: ribosomal RNA, 468 nt
Filed under: uncultured bacterium
Lineage: Bacteria
Description: partial 16S ribosomal RNA
Rfam family: Bacterial small subunit ribosomal RNA
Source: RNAcentral
GAUGAACGCUGACAGAAUGCUUAACACAUGCAAGUCAACUUGAAUUUGGGUUUUUUAACUUAGAUUUGGGUGGCGGACGGGUGAGUAACGCGUAAAGAACUUGCCUCACAGCUAGGGACAACAUUUGGAAACGAAUGCUAAUACCUGAUAUUAUGAUUAUAAGGCAUCUUAGAAUUAUGAAGGCUAUAUGCGCUGUGAGAGAGCUUUGCGUCCCAUUAGCUAGUUGGAGAGGUAACGGCUCACCAAGGCGAUGAUGGGUAGCCGGCCUGAGAGGGUGAACGGCCACAAGGGGACUGAGACACGGCCCUUACUCCUACGGGAGGCAGCAGUGGGGAAUAUUGGACAAUGGACCAAGAGUCUGAUCCAGCAAUUCUGUGUGCACGAUGACGUUUUUCGGAAUGUAAAGUGCUUUCAGUUGGGAAGAAAAAAAUGACGGUACCAACAGAAGAAGUGACGGCUAAAUACGUG